CUUCCACCUCUACUUAUCUGACUGCAGAGAGGAGGACAGAGGACAGUGGACACACAGUUUAACAUGAUGGACUAUAGGACAGGACUGCUGCUUUUAACCAUCUGCUGCUGGACAGGUGUUGAUGGUCAGACUCUGACAGAAUCUGAACCAGUGAUUAAAAGACCUGGAGAAUCCCACAGACUGACCUGUACAGCCUCUGGGUUUACAUUCAGCAGCUACUUGAUGAGCUGGAUCAGACAGGCUCCUGGAAAAGGACUGGAAUGGAUCUCCACUAUUGAUGUUACUAGCAUCUACUACUCCCAGUCAGUUCAGGGCCGGUUCACCAUCUCCAGAGACAACAACAGACAGCAGCUGUAUCUGCAGAUGAACAGUCUGAGGACUGAAGACUCUGCUGUGUAUUACUGUGCCAGAGAGCCACAACAACACAAACCAUCAGUAGACCUGAACAAAAACCCCUCAAUGCCUGAACACUUGUAA
Non-coding RNA from Sebastes umbrosus (honeycomb rockfish), 477 nucleotides. The record is from the annotation of a RefSeq genome assembly. Lineage: Eukaryota; Metazoa; Chordata; Actinopteri; Perciformes; Sebastidae.